This 164-nucleotide ribosomal RNA is filed under the name Garcinia intermedia. Its description in RNAcentral is "5.8S ribosomal RNA". It matches the Rfam family "5.8S ribosomal RNA". From Rfam's summary of the family: 5.8S ribosomal RNA (5.8S rRNA) is a component of the large subunit of the eukaryotic ribosome. It is transcribed by RNA polymerase I as part of the 45S precursor that also contains 18S and 28S rRNA. The record is from RNAcentral. Lineage: Eukaryota; Viridiplantae; Streptophyta; Magnoliopsida; Malpighiales; Clusiaceae.
CGUAAAUAGAACGACUCUCGGCAACGGAUAUCUCGGCUCUUGCAUCGAUGAAGAACGUAGCGAAAUGCGAUACGUGGUGUGAAUUGCAGAAUCCCGUGAACCAUCGAGUUUUUGAACGCAAGUUGCGCCCGAAGCCUUCAGGUUGAGGGCACGUCUGCCUGGGU